This 280-nucleotide ribosomal RNA is filed under the name uncultured Alphaproteobacteria bacterium. RNAcentral describes it as "partial 16S ribosomal RNA". It matches the Rfam family "Bacterial small subunit ribosomal RNA", at positions 54 to 354 of the family's 1533-position model. Lineage: Bacteria; Pseudomonadati; Pseudomonadota; Alphaproteobacteria. The record is from RNAcentral.
UACCAUGCAAGUCGAGCGGGCGUCACAUACGUCAGCGGCAGACGGGUGAGUAACGCGUGGGAACGUACCUUUUGGUUCGGAACAACACAGGGAAACUUGUGCUAAUACCGGAUAAGCCCUUACGGGGAAAGAUUUAUCGCCGAAAGAUCGGCCCGCGUCUGAUUAGCUAGUUGGUGGGGUAACGGCCCACCAAGGCUACGAUCAGUAGCUGGUCUGAGAGGAUGAUCAGCCUCACUGGGACUGAGACACGGCCCAGACUCCUACGGGAGGCAGCAGUGGG